Molecule: non-coding RNA, 217 nt
Organism: Pelobates cultripes (western spadefoot toad)
Lineage: Eukaryota; Metazoa; Chordata; Amphibia; Anura; Pelobatidae
Source: the annotation of a GenBank genome assembly
UUAUAGUCUGAUUUAUUUUAUCUGAAAGAAAUUCAGAAAUAAUGAAACGUGGCCAGCGGUUAAACAUGACAUCAUAACAGGGGAGAGCUGUUUUAACAGCUGGUCAGAUAAAGGGUAUUACAUAUCACAAAUGGGUAAACUAGAAAAGGUUAAAGGAACACUAUAGUCACAAAAACACCUUUAGCUGAAUGAAGCCGGUUUAGUGUAUAGAUCAUGC